AGGAUGAACGCUGGCGGUCUGCUUAACACAUGCAAGUCGAACGGAGUAGCAAUACUUAGUAGCGGACGGGUGAGUAACGCGUGAGAAUCUACCUUCAGGACGGAGACAACAGUUGGAAACGACUGCUAACCCCCGAUGUACCGAAAGGGCAAAUAUUUAUAGCCUGAAGAAGAGCUCGCGUCCGAUUAGCUAGUUGGAGAGGUAAAAGCUCACCAAGGCGACGAUCGGUAGCUGGUCUGAGAGGACGAUCAGCCACACUGGGACUGAGACACGGCCCAGACUCCUACGGGAGGCAGCAGUGGGGAAUUUUCCGCAAUGGGCGAAAGCCUGACGGAGCAAGACCGCGUGGGGGAAGAAGGCUCUUGGGUUGUAAACCCCCUUUUCUCUGGGAAGAACGCAAUGACGGUACCAGAGGAAUCAGCAUCGGCUAACUCCGUGCCAGCAGCCGC
RNAcentral lists this ribosomal RNA (449 nucleotides) under uncultured bacterium. Its description in RNAcentral is "SSU rRNA". It matches the Rfam family "Bacterial small subunit ribosomal RNA", at positions 26 to 518 of the family's 1533-position model. The record is from RNAcentral.